GGAUAGUCCAGACUCCAGAAGCCCAGGCCAGCCAAAGUAACUCCCUACUCCCGACACUUUGUCUUCAUCUCCGUCAAUUUCAGAUCCAGCCUCAAUUUCCUGAAGGAAUAACUCAUUUCCCAAUCUUCCAUUCUCGGAUUCUCCCAAGCCACAAUCUCUUCAGAAAUCAUUCCUCCGGUGCAUGGCCAUUUCUUAAUUUCCUCUUCAACCUCUUGAUUCAAGCAAAUUCUGGUUCAUGCUUCCACUCAUCGACUGAUCGACUAUGGGCUAUUGAGCUAUUCAAAGUUUCGAACUGGAGAAUCGUCUCUCACAGUCUCACUCUCUCCUCCUCCACCAGUGCCGCCUGCGGGUCUAAUUCUAGCUCCUCUCUCGGUGGUGUUGAGAGGGUUGGUGGGCUGGCGCUGGUUAGGUCCGACAGUUGCUUCCCUACUCUCAAUAGCUGAGUUGUUUUAUGGAGAGGUGUUGGCUGAUUUGCACAAGAAAUAUGGCUCUGUUGUGAAGUUGUGGUUGGGACCAACUCAGCUUUUAGUGUCAAUAAAAGAUCCAACUCUAAUCAGAGACAUGCUACUAAAGGCUGCAAAUAAGUUGCCUAUGACUGGGAGGGCAUUCCAUUUGGCCUCUGGAAGCUCAAGCCUUUGGAGUCCCAUAUAUCAGUGUAGCCACUUGGCACGGGCAAUCCUAGGCAAAGCUCAUAGUAGCCUCACUUCCAUAUGUAGCAUACUCAUAAAUGGAUCCAUAAAGGAGAGAGCUGAUUCAGUAGAUGAUGGAAGACAGUCAUAAUCUUUUAGAGAAUACUGGGUGUAGGUCAUUUAUCGAAUGAGAUAGAUUUAGAGCACCCCUUUGGGUGUGGUAUGUUCUGAGUUUAGUGAUUAUUCCUUUAGCACUACUUUUUAUGAUUGGAAUGCUGUUAUUAUUUGGAUUACUCCUCUGUACUGGUUUAUUGUAAUCUAUGGUGUUUCGAGAUUAGACUAUUGUGGUAUGCCACUUAUGUGAUUUAUACUGGCACUAAUCUACAACGUUUUUCAUCAA
This is a long non-coding RNA of Rosa chinensis, 1029 nucleotides long. RefSeq lists it as uncharacterized. The transcript has 3 exons. The record is from RefSeq and is a predicted model, not a curated record. NCBI's taxonomy places the organism in Eukaryota, Viridiplantae, Streptophyta, Magnoliopsida, Rosales, Rosaceae.